This 257-nucleotide ribosomal RNA is filed under the name uncultured bacterium. RNAcentral describes it as "partial 16S ribosomal RNA". It matches the Rfam family "Bacterial small subunit ribosomal RNA", at positions 795 to 1052 of the family's 1533-position model. The record is from RNAcentral.
CCACGCCGUAAACGUUGGGCGCUAGGUGUGGGGCUCAUUCCACGAGUUCCGUGCCGCAGCUAACGCAUUAAGCGCCCCGCCUGGGGAGUACGGCCGCAAGGCUAAAACUCAAAGGAAUUGACGGGGGCCCGCACAAGCGGCGGAGCAUGUUGCUUAAUUCGAUGCAACGCGAAGAACCUUACCUAGGCUUGACAUGCACGGAAAUCCUCCAGAGAUGGUGGGUCCGUAAGGGCCGUGCACAGGUGGUGCAUGGUUGU